UUAAGCUACAAAGAGCGUAGGGAGAAUGCCUAGGUACCAAGAGCCGAAGAAGGACGUGAUAAGCUGCGAAAAGCCACGGGGAGGAGCAAAUAUCCAUCGAGCCGUGGGUGUCCGAAUGAGGGAACUCAUACAGUAAAAAAAGACUGUAUAUCCAUACAUGAGUAAAGUAGUGUAUAGGAAGGGAACGUGGGGAACUGAAACAUCUUAGUACCCAUAGGAAAAGAAAGUAAUAACGAUUCCUGAAGUAGUGGCGAGCGAAACAGGAAGAGCCCAAACCAUAGAUAGUAAUAUUUGUGGGGUUCGGAUUAUCAAUAAAGCCAAGAAUGAUGUUAGUAGAAUUACCAGGGAAGGUAAACCAAAGAAGGUGAAAGUCCUGUAUAUGAAAACAGAGUGAAGGCGAGAUAAAUCCAGAGUAGUGCGAGACACGAGAAAUCUCGUAUGAAAGAGCGGAGACCAUUCCGUAAGGCUAAAUACUACUUGGUAACCGAUAGAGAACAAGUACCGUGAGGGAACGGUGAAAAGGACCCCGGGAGGGGAGUGAAAGAGAACCUGAAACCCUAUGUUUACAAGCAGAUAGAGCGAUUUAAGGCGCGAUAUCGUACUUUUUGUAGAACGGUCCAGCGAGUUAUUGUAUAUGGCGAGGUUAAGUUCUGAAUAAGGAAUGGAGCCGAAGAGAAAUCGAGUCUGAAUAGGGCGAUAUAAGUCAUAUAUAAUAGACCCGAAACCGGGUGACCUAUCCAUGGUCAGGAUGAAGCUGAAGUAAAAUUCAGUGGAGGUCCGAACUGAUUGUCGUUAAAAAGGCACCGGAUGAACUGUGGAUAGCGGAGAAAUUCCAAUCGAACUCGGAGAUAGCUGGUUCUCCUCGAAAUAGCUUUAGGGCUAGCCUUGAGGUAAAAGAAUUAUGGGGGUAGAGCACUGAAUGAGGUAGGGGCCAAACCAGGUUACUGAACUCUAUCAAACUGCGAAUACCAUAAUUAGAAUACUCAGGAGUCAGACUGCGGGAGCUAAGUUCCGUGGUCAAAAGGGAAAGAGCCCAGACCGACAAUUAAGGUCCCAAAGAUAUAGUUAAGUGGAAAACGAUGUGAAUUUGCAUAAACAACCAGGAUGUUGGCUCAGAAGCAGCCACUCAUUCAAAGAGUGCGUAACAGCUCACUGGUCGAGUGAAUUUGCGCGGAAAAUUACCGGGGCUAAACUAUACACCGAAAUUUCGGAUUUACGUAUGAAAAUAUGUAAGUGGUAGAGGAGCAUUCUGUAGUAGGACGAAGUCAAAGCGAAAGCAUUGGUGGACGAGGCAGAAGAGAGAAUGCUGGAAUAAGUAGCGAGAGCAAGGUGAGAAUCCUUGCCGUCGAAAGUCUAAGGUUUCCUGGGGAAGGUUCGUCCGCCCAGGGUAAGUCGGGGCCUAAGGAGAGGCCGAAAGGCGUAUCUGAUGGAUAGCAGGUGGAGAUUCCUGCACUAUAGCUAGUUUUAAAAGAUGCAAGGGACGCAGUAGAGGAAGAUAACCAAGGAAGAGGAAAGACUUGGUCCGCAAGGGAUAGUGAAAAUUAAUAGUAACGAAAUAUCAAGAAUCACACUGACGAGAAAAGCUUGUAGAUAUUAACUAGAAAUACCCGUACCGCAAACCGACACAGGUAGAUGAGGAGAGGAUCCUAAGACGAGCGGGAGAAGCAUUGUUAAGGAACUCGGCAAAAUAACCCCGUAACUUCGGGAGAAGGGGAACCUAAGUAAAAUUAGGUCGCAGAGAAAAGGCCCAAGCAACUGUUUAACAAAAACACAGGUUUCUGCAAAAUCGAAAGAUGAAGUAUAGGAGCUGACGCCUGCCCAGUGCUGGAAGGUUAAGGGAAAGAGUUAGAUGUAAGUCGAAGCUUAGAACUAAAGCCCCAGUGAACGGCGGCCGUAACUAUAACGGUCCUAAGGUAGCGAAAUUCCUUGUCAGGUAAG
Molecule: ribosomal RNA, 1938 nt
Filed under: human gut metagenome
Description: bacterial LSU rRNA
Rfam family: Bacterial large subunit ribosomal RNA
Source: RNAcentral